RNAcentral lists this ribosomal RNA (506 nucleotides) under Apotolamprus sp. BMNH673991. RNAcentral describes it as "eukaryotic LSU rRNA". It matches the Rfam family "Eukaryotic large subunit ribosomal RNA", at positions 688 to 1152 of the family's 3401-position model. The record is from RNAcentral. Lineage: Eukaryota; Metazoa; Arthropoda; Insecta; Coleoptera; Scarabaeidae.
GAGUCAUUGGGACUCUGUUAAACCUAAAGGCGCAAUGAAAGUAAAGGUCCGCCUCGCGCGGACCGAGGGAGGAUGGGCCCGUCCCCGGGCGGGCCCCGCACUCCCGGGGCGUCUCGUUCUCAUCGCGAGAAGAGGCGCACCCAGAGCGUACCCGCUGGGACCCGAAAGAUGGUGAACUAUGCCUGGUCAGGACGAAGUCAGGGGAAACCCUGAUGGAGGUCCGUAGCGAUUCUGACGUGCAAAUCGAUCGUCGGAACUGGGUAUAGGGGCGAAAGACUAAUCGAACCUUCUAGUAGCUGGUUCCCUCCGAAGUUUCCCUCAGGAUAGCUGGCGCUCGCCUUUGCGAGUCUCAUUCGGUAAAGCGAAUGAUUAGAGGCAUUGGGGUCGAAACGGCCUCAACCUAUUCUCAAACUUUAAAUGGGUGAGAUCUCCGGCUUGCUUGAAGCGUGAAGCCGCGAGAUAUCGGAUCAGAGUGCCAAGUGGGCCACUUUUGGUAAGCAGAACUG